Molecule: ribosomal RNA, 194 nt
Filed under: Cyclocybe aegerita
Lineage: Eukaryota; Fungi; Basidiomycota; Agaricomycetes; Agaricales; Hemipholiotaceae
Description: partial small subunit ribosomal RNA
Source: RNAcentral
GCUUUAAAUUUUCUAUUUUAAAACCAAAUUUACUUUUUUACCUUUGUUUAUACUAGGUAGAGUCAGUAAAUAAGCUCUAAUUUUAAUAAAUAAAAAUAAAAUUUUCAACUCGCAAUCCUCAGGAUUUAUAGGAGAAAAUUAAAUAAAUAAGACCUAAUUUUAUUAAGAACAGUAAAAAAUAGAAUAAAUUAAAG